GCAUUGGGGGUUCCGUGGUAGAAUUCUUGCCUUCCAUGCAGGAGACCUGGGUUCAAUUCCUGGUCACUGUA
This 71-nucleotide transfer RNA is filed under the name Loxodonta africana (African savanna elephant). It matches the Rfam family "tRNA". From Rfam's summary of the family: Transfer RNA (tRNA) molecules are approximately 80 nucleotides in length. Their secondary structure includes four short double-helical elements and three loops (D, anti-codon, and T loops). Further hydrogen bonds mediate the characteristic L-shaped molecular structure. tRNAs have two regions of fundamental functional importance: the anti-codon, which is responsible for specific mRNA codon recognition, and the 3' end, to which the tRNAs corresponding amino acid is attached (by aminoacyl-tRNA synthetases). tRNAs cope with the degeneracy of the genetic code in two manners: having more than one tRNA (with a specific anti-codon) for a particular amino acid; and 'wobble' base-pairing, i.e. permitting non-standard base-pairing at the 3rd anti-codon position. The record is from Rfam by way of RNAcentral. Lineage: Eukaryota; Metazoa; Chordata; Mammalia; Proboscidea; Elephantidae.